GGGUUUGGAUCCCUGGUUCUGGGAACUCCUACUAACACAACCUACCCCAGCAGGGGUGGCUGGUACACUGACUACACUUCCUUCUCCUUCUCAUGAGACAGGACAUGGGAAGGUCCCACUUCUGCUCACACAGGGGAGCCUAGACUGGAAUGGACUAUUCCAGUCUAGAUAUA
Molecule: long non-coding RNA, 173 nt
Organism: Bufo gargarizans (Asiatic toad)
Lineage: Eukaryota; Metazoa; Chordata; Amphibia; Anura; Bufonidae
Exons: 3
Source: RefSeq, a predicted model, not a curated record